RNAcentral lists this ribosomal RNA (377 nucleotides) under uncultured Polaribacter sp. Its description in RNAcentral is "bacterial SSU rRNA". It matches the Rfam family "Bacterial small subunit ribosomal RNA", at positions 103 to 478 of the family's 1533-position model. Lineage: Bacteria; Pseudomonadati; Bacteroidota; Flavobacteriia; Flavobacteriales; Flavobacteriaceae. The record is from RNAcentral.
CGGGUGCGUAACGCGUAUAGAACCUACCUUUUACAGAGGAAUAGCCUUUAGAAAUGAAGAUUAAUGCCUCAUAGUAUUGUAGACUGGCAUCAGUUUAUAAUUAAAGAUUUAUCGGUAAAAGAUGGCUAUGCGUCCUAUUAGUUAGUUGGUAAGGUAACGGCUUACCAAGACAGCGAUAGGUAGGGGUCCUGAGAGGGAGAUCCCCCACACUGGUACUGAGACACGGACCAGACUCCUACGGGAGGCAGCAGUGAGGAAUAUUGGACAAUGGAGGAGACUCUGAUCCAGCCAUGCCGCGUGUAGGAAGAAUGCCCUAUGGGUUGUAAACUACUUUUAUACAGGAAGAAACACUGGUAUGUAUACCAGCUUGACGGUAC